UUCUAUGGCAGUUGUGUGCAGGAGACCUGCGGGUCUGCCGGUCGCUCCUUGCCGGUUCGCCAACGCCACCCUU
This 73-nucleotide unclassified non-coding RNA is filed under the name Pseudomonas cichorii. The record is from RNAcentral. Lineage: Bacteria; Pseudomonadati; Pseudomonadota; Gammaproteobacteria; Pseudomonadales; Pseudomonadaceae.